RNAcentral lists this ribosomal RNA (409 nucleotides) under Fusobacteriota bacterium. Its description in RNAcentral is "Fusobacteria bacterium partial 16S ribosomal RNA". It matches the Rfam family "Bacterial small subunit ribosomal RNA", at positions 355 to 776 of the family's 1533-position model. The record is from RNAcentral. Lineage: Bacteria; Fusobacteriati; Fusobacteriota.
UGGGGAAUAUUGCACAAUGGAGGGAACUCUGAUGCAGCAACGCCGCGUGCGGGAUGACGGCCUUCGGGUUGUAAACCGCUUUCAGCCAGGACGAAGCUUUUGUGACGGUAGUGGUAGAAGAAGCACCGGCUAACUACGUGCCAGCAGCCGCGGUGAUACGUAGGGUGCGAGCGUUGUCCGGAUUUAUUGGGUUUAAAGGGUGCGUAGGUGGGCUGUUAAGUCAGCGGUGAAAGUUUGUCGCUUAACGAUAAAAUUGCCGUUGAAACUGGUAGUCUUGAGUAUAGAUGAAGUAGGCGGAAUGCGUGGUGUAGCGGUGAAAUGCAUAGAGAUCACGCAGAACUCCGAUUGCGAAGGCAGCUUACUAAGGUAUAACUGACACUGAAGCACGAAAGCGUGGGUAUCAAACAGG